RNAcentral lists this unclassified non-coding RNA (236 nucleotides) under fungal sp. RNAcentral describes it as "partial internal transcribed spacer region". The stretch from base 1 to 45 matches the Rfam family "Eukaryotic small subunit ribosomal RNA", at positions 1787 to 1831 of the family's 1831-position model. The record is from RNAcentral. Lineage: Eukaryota; Fungi.
AGUCGUAACAAGGUAACCGUAGGUGAACCUGCGGUUGGAUCAUUAACAAUGGUUUUCAAACCUUUUAUCUGUGCACUUUUUGCUACCUCUGGGUCCUUAAGGAUUAAAGAGGUAGUGUCUGUUCAUCUCUUGCCGAGACUAUGGUCUCGACUAGAGAAUUUUUAAACCAUGUAUUGUAUCGAGUCUUGAAUUUGUAUUAAAAUGAAAAACUUUUGACAACGGAUCUCUUGGCUCUC